This 976-nucleotide ribosomal RNA is filed under the name uncultured Gammaproteobacteria bacterium. Its description in RNAcentral is "bacterial SSU rRNA". It matches the Rfam family "Bacterial small subunit ribosomal RNA", at positions 56 to 1027 of the family's 1533-position model. Lineage: Bacteria; Pseudomonadati; Pseudomonadota; Gammaproteobacteria. The record is from RNAcentral.
UGCAAGUCGAGCGGAUUUUGGUAGCUUGCUACCAAAGUUAGCGGCGGACGGGUGAGUAACGCGUAGGAAUCUACCUAGUAGUGGGGGAUAACGUUCCGAAAGGAACGCUAAUACCGCAUACGACCUAAGGGUGAAAGGGGGGGAUCUUCGGACCUCUCGCUAUUAGAUGAGCCUGCGUAGGAUUAGCUAGUUGGUAGGGUAAAGGCCUACCAAGGCGACGAUCCUUAACUGGUCUGAGAGGAUGAUCAGUCACACUGGAACUGAGACACGGUCCAGACUCCUACGGGAGGCAGCAGUGGGGAAUAUUGGACAAUGGGGGAAACCCUGAUCCAGCCAUGCCGCGUGUGUGAAGAAGGCCUUCGGGUUGUAAAGCACUUUCGGUCAGAAAGAAGGGUGUGUAGUUAAUAACUGCAUGCCUUGACGGUACUGACAUAAGAAGCACCGGCUAACUCCGUGCCAGCAGCCGCGGUAAUACGGAGGGUGCAAGCGUUAAUCGGAAUUACUGGGCGUAAAGCGCGCGUAGGCGGUUUGUUAAGUCGGAUGUGAAAGCCCUGGGCUCAACCUGGGAACUGCAUACGAUACUGGCAAGCUAGAGUGCAAUAGAGGGGGGUAGAAUUCCAGGUGUAGCGGUGAAAUGCGUAGAUAUCUGGAGGAAUACCGGUGGCGAAGGCGGCCCCCUGGAUUGACACUGACGCUGAGGUGCGAAAGCGUGGGUAGCAAACAGGAUUAGAUACCCUGGUAGUCCACGCCGUAAACGAUGUCAACUAGCUGUUGGGACUCUUGUAGUUCUGGUAGCGCAGCUAACGCACUAAGUUGACCGCCUGGGGAGUACGGCCGCAAGGUUAAAACUCAAAUGAAUUGACGGGGGCCCGCACAAGCGGUGGAGCAUGUGGUUUAAUUCGACGUCACGCGAAAAACCUUACCUACUCUUGACAUCCUGCGAAACUUCUAGAGAUAGAUUGGUGCCUUCGGGAGC